GAUAUGCAGGCAUGUGAGCGUAAAUCCACUACUCUUGUGUAUUUGUACAAUGCAUGAUAUUUUGUAGAGCAAUUAAGCCCCAUAAUUGAAUGCAGAAUCAGAAUUUCCUUCAGUCUUCUCAAUCUGACUUGUUAGCAACCAGAGUGAUUACGGCAGGAGCUGAGGUAAAUGACACUAAUCCAGCGAGGCACAUUUCCAACCUGAAUUGCACACCAAACCUGUUCCUACGCCCCCAUCCCAUGCGAGCAUGAGGCACAAUUAUCACAUGUAAGGUCCUGUUCUGAAAAAGGCAAGAAUCCUACAGGGAAACAGGCUGGGGAGGGAGGGUGCCGUGCUCUUCGUUCCUGUGGCUGAUAAGAAAGCACGUACUGUGUUUCCAGCUCUGUUUCUUCCCUCUUCCCUUUCCUAGCAGUAGCUCUGACAGGCUGAGACCCGGUGCGACACGGUUAUCCAUCUUCUGCAGCAGGACCGUCGGUCAUUCGGGCAGAAAAGCUACUUCUACAGAUUGACUUCCCCUUCCAAAAAAUCGUUCCUAUCCGGAAGAUGUAAUCCCAUCACUGAGAGAACCAUAAAAACCCCUGUGAUUAAAAAGUCUGUGUCACAAAUAGCAAGCUUAGGCCAUAAUAAUAAAAACAGAGGGAAUUUAACCAUGAGUCACUCAGAAAGUUCCUGUAAAUUACUCUUGACGUAGCCUGAGUUGACGCUGAAGAAAUCUGUGAGAAAGUUGUCCUUACAUUCCUGUCGGAUUCCUCAGCAGCUGGGACAGCACUUCUACACCAUGUUCCACCCUGGCUGCCUUGGAGCACAGGCUCGGAUUGCCUCUUGGAUGUGGUGUCCUUCAAUCACGUACCGCCUCCUUUUAAGAGAAGGAAGAACAAAUGGCAAACUGUGGGUAAUGAAAACAACAGAUCAAGAAAAUAGCAUCAGAAUUAAGCAGUAGGAAAGAACUAGAAGAGGAACUAAAAUGCUGGAUGCGUCUGACCUGGCAAGUGAGAACUGGUGAGCACAGAGUGUACUGCACAGAGCUACCAAGGGACGUGGCACGGGGUGUAUUUUGGCCUUGGGCUGGCAAAAUCUCUGCUCUUGCAAAACAAGUCAUGGCAUUCUUACUAUCUGCAAGAAGCUUGCAAGACAGGGAACGCACUGAAGAAUGUGAAAAAAACAUGCAAAACUAUUACAGAGAAACAAGUUUCCAGGCCGGGCGGUGUGUUGAGACUCUAAUGGUAACGCUAAUGCAGGGGCAGAGCCUGCCCACGCCUACACAGAGCAACCCACUCCUCCCUGCCUGCCACGCAGAAGGGAAAGGGAAGUUUGAAAAAAAAUUUGUCUGGCUGCUGGAGAGCUCCAUCUCGUGGUAAAAUUCCAGGAAGAUCUUCACAAGUAUUCCCGUCUGAAG
Calidris pugnax (ruff) is the source of this 1396-nucleotide long non-coding RNA. RefSeq lists it as uncharacterized. Lineage: Eukaryota; Metazoa; Chordata; Aves; Charadriiformes; Scolopacidae. The record is from RefSeq and is a predicted model, not a curated record. The transcript is spliced from 4 exons.